CAAGUAUGACACUGGUAUGAUACGGAUAAGACAUUGAUAUAAUACGAGUAUGACACCCUAAAUGAAGUGUCCAUGCAUCCUAACUCAAUUGUUCCACACAAACUCAAACGGUAUCAACCAAGUUCUUGGCAUAAUAGGCAUCACAACUCCACUGCCUGUUUUCCAAGUUAAAGAUACCUGUUUCUAGAUCAUCUCAUGGGAUUUGAAACUCCUUUUUCCAUAUUAAUAUGCACACAUUAAUGCAGACAUUUCUUAAAAAGUACUUCAAUUCAAAGAAUAUCAUAUAAAAAUUCUAAUAUAUUGUUUUAAGAGAUAACUGCAACUUUGUUUUUUUAUUUUUUCCUUUUUUCUAGGAAGCAGCAUGAAUGAUACUUGCACAAAUCAUUGAGAAACAUGACAAAUAAUGAAAAUGAAGAUAUGUGAGGUUAAUUCACCUGUUGUUUGCAUACUCAUAAAGCCGUCCACGACUGGAGAAGAUGAGAAGAGCCACCUCUGCGUCGCACAGGACAGAAAGUUCACAAGCUUUCUUUAAGAGUCCAUUUCUCCUCUUGCAGAAGGAGACUUGGCGUUUUGUAUUGUUCUCAAUCCGCUUGAUCUCAAUCUUUCUUCUCCCCAUUGCACAACCUGAGAGGCCUAAACACAUUAGCAAGUGACAUCAUGUAGUUAUAUAUUACUUUCUUUAGCAAAAUCAGCAGGUUUUAUAUGUUCAAUAUGAGAAUAUUACACAAAUAUUGUCUUUGAUGUGUGUAAUUAAACAUUUCAACUAAUGUAGAGUUGAUUAGUUUGAAAGUUGCAACAGAAAAUUGAUGCUUGCCAAAAUGGGUUUGCAGAA
Molecule: long non-coding RNA, 832 nt
Organism: Quercus robur (English oak)
Lineage: Eukaryota; Viridiplantae; Streptophyta; Magnoliopsida; Fagales; Fagaceae
Exons: 2
Source: RefSeq, a predicted model, not a curated record